This is a long non-coding RNA of Dalotia coriaria, 956 nucleotides long. RefSeq lists it as uncharacterized. The transcript has 2 exons. NCBI's taxonomy places the organism in Eukaryota, Metazoa, Arthropoda, Insecta, Coleoptera, Staphylinidae. The record is from RefSeq and is a predicted model, not a curated record.
AAUAUGAUGUACCAGUAUGUACUAAAGUGGUGUGAAGUAACGUUUAAUUGCUAGGUCCCUAAAACAAUCAAAAAUUAGUUCACGAUUGUGCAAAAAUUGUAUCUUUGUGUUAAUAAGAAAUAUUAAUAAUAUAUUUAAAUUCACGUAAUUCAGAAACUCUAUCCAUGCUGUCCAUUUUAGAUUAAUAUUUGGCGAGUUAUUUAUAGGUAUAUUUGUCACAACAGAAUUUCCAAUUGCUCACCGUUGCCUUAUUUUAUCACCAAAUUCGAAAAAAAUACAGUACUCAAAAAGUAACCUUAUCACAUGAGUUACUAAGCUAAUUAAUUCCAAUUAGAUAUAUAUUGCGCCGUCAAACUCAAAACAUUUCAGUUGUGUCUGACGAUUUGAACCAAACAAUACUAGGAUCAUGAGGGCAAAUAUUUUGUUCACUGUAACCUUGUGCGUAGCAAGCUCGAUUGCGUUGCCCACUUCAAAUGUGAAGCCAAUUAGAAACUUUGGCAACUGCUUCGAAAUUUUGGCAAACUCUAUUGCUGAAGAGUUCGAGAUCAAUAAAAAAAUUGUUGAAGAAUGUGCAACAGAAAACUGCCUGGAACAGAUCAAAGUUAUCGAACGAGAAACGAGAGGCUUAAUAUCUACGUACUUAUAUGGUAUAUCAUUGCAUACUGAUUGCCUCCCAGGAUGCAACGGAAAUAAAGAAUGCGAAGAGAGCUGUGUUGCCACCUAUGACAAUCUACUGCAAGGAUGUGUGAUAAACCUCAACGUAAUGAUCAACACGAAUCUCGGUAAAAUGCUGGACACAUGCCCUAAAGUAAGCGAAUGCGCUCGUUCCGCUUACGAUAUAUUUGUCAAUAAGAAGAUAAUUGCUGCACGUAGAGAAUUUGUCAGUUGUUUAUCAGUUUAAUUUGUUUCUUUUUUUGAUUAAAAAAUCAAUAAAUAUAUGGAAAUAAAUAAAAUAA